Molecule: ribosomal RNA, 482 nt
Filed under: uncultured bacterium
Lineage: Bacteria
Description: partial 16S ribosomal RNA
Rfam family: Bacterial small subunit ribosomal RNA
Source: RNAcentral
AUUGAACGCUGGCGGCAUGCUUUACACAUGCAAGUCGAACGGUAACAGGCCGCAAGGUGCUGACGAGUGGCGAACGGGUGAGUAAUGCAUCGGAACGUGCCCAGUCGGGGGGGAUAACUACUCGAAAGAGUAGCUAAUACCGCAUACGAUCUAUGGAUGAAAGCGGGGGACCGUAAGGCCUCGCGCGAUUGGAGCGGCCGAUGUCAGAUUAGGUAGUUGGUGGGGUAAAGGCUCACCAAGCCAACGAUCUGUAGCUGGUCUGAGAGGACGACCAGCCACACUGGGACUGAGACACGGCCCAGACUCCUACGGGAGGCAGCAGUGGGGAAUUUUGGACAAUGGGCGCAAGCCUGAUCCAGCAAUGCCGCGUGCAGGAAGAAGGCCUUCGGGUUGUAAACUGCUUUUGUACGGAACGAAACGGCUCUGGUUAAUACCCGGGGCUAAUGACGGUACCGUAAGAAUAAGCACCGGCUAACUACGUG